RNAcentral lists this unclassified non-coding RNA (240 nucleotides) under soil metagenome. Its description in RNAcentral is "partial contains 5.8S ribosomal RNA, internal transcribed spacer 2, and large subunit ribosomal RNA". The record is from RNAcentral.
AACAUCGCGCACCUGCGGGAACCUGCGGAAGGAUCAUUACAGAGUUGCAAAACUCCCUAAACCAUUGUGAACGUUACCUAAACCGUUGCUUCGGCGGGCGGCCCGGGUCCUUCCCGGCGCCCCUCGGCCCUCGCGGGCGCCCGCCGGAGGUAAACCAAACUAUUGCAUUGUAUGGCCUCUCUGAGUCUUCUGUACUGAAUAAGUCAAAACUUUUAACAAUGGAUCUCAGAUCGGAAGAGC